RNAcentral lists this ribosomal RNA (373 nucleotides) under uncultured organism. Its description in RNAcentral is "partial 16S ribosomal RNA". It matches the Rfam family "Bacterial small subunit ribosomal RNA", at positions 527 to 896 of the family's 1533-position model. The record is from RNAcentral.
GGAGGGGGCCAGCGUUGUUCGGAAUUAUUGGGCGUAAAGGGCGCGUAGGCGGCCUGGUAAGUCGGGCGUGAAAUCCCGCGGCUCAACCGCGGAACUGCGUUCGAAACUGCCGGGCUUGAGUCCCGGAGAGGGUGGCGGAAUUCCCAGUGUAGCGGUGAAAUGCGUAGAUAUUGGGAGGAACACCAGUGGCGGGGGCGGUCACCUGGACGGGUACUGACGCUGAGGCGCGAAAGCGUGGGGAGCAAACAGGAUUAGAUACCCUGGUAGUCCACGCUGUAAACGUUGGGCACUUGGUGUUGCGGGUAUCGACCCCCUGCAGUGCCAAAGCUAACGCAUUAAGUGCCCCCGCCUGGGGAGUACGGUCGCAAGGCUG